This 253-nucleotide ribosomal RNA is filed under the name uncultured bacterium. RNAcentral describes it as "partial 16S ribosomal RNA". It matches the Rfam family "Bacterial small subunit ribosomal RNA", at positions 524 to 776 of the family's 1533-position model. The record is from RNAcentral.
AACGUAGGACGCAAGCGUUAUCCGGAGUUACUGGGCGUAAAGCGCGGGCAGGCGGUUGGUCAAGUCUGAUGUGAAAUCUCCUCGCUCAACGGGGAGCAGCCAUUGGAAACUGGGCAACUGGAGUCUGGCAGAGGUAGGCGGAAUUCCGGGUGGAGUGGUGAAAUGCGUAGAGAUCCGGAGGAACACCAGAGGCGAAGGCGGCCUACUGGGCCAGUACUGACGCUGAGCCGCGAAAGCCAGGGGAGCGAACGGG